AUACGUAGGGGGCGAGCGUUGUCCGGAAUUACUGGGCGUAAAGGGUGCGUAGGCGGUCUGUUAAGUCAGAUGUGAAACUCCAUGGCUCAACUGUGGGCUUGCAUAUGAAACUGGCAAACUAGAGUGCAGGAGAGGGAAGUGGAAUUCCUAGUGUAGCGGUGAAAUGCGUAGAGAUUAGGAGGAACACCAGUGGCGAAGGCGGCUUUCUGGCCUGUAACUGACGCUGAGGCACGAAAGCGUGGGGAGCGAACAGGAUUAGAUACCCUGGUAGUCCACGCCGUAAACGAUGGAUACUAGGUGUAGGGGGCAUUAAGCCUUCUGUGCCGCAGUUAACGCAAUAAGUAUCCCGCCUGGGGAGUACGGCCGCAAGGCUGAA
This 376-nucleotide ribosomal RNA is filed under the name uncultured bacterium. Its description in RNAcentral is "bacterial SSU rRNA". It matches the Rfam family "Bacterial small subunit ribosomal RNA", at positions 523 to 898 of the family's 1533-position model. The record is from RNAcentral.